ACCGCGGUAUACGAGAGGCUCAAGUUGACAGAUACCGGCGUAAAGGUGGUUAGGGGAACAUCCUCAGAGCAGUUCAACGCUUACGAGUUAGAAGAUCUAUCACGAAAGUAGCUUUACCCCACCUGACCCCACGAAAGCUGUGGCACAAACUGGGAUUAGAUACCCCACUAUGCUCAGCCAUAAAAUUUGAUAGGUCCCUACACACCUAUCCGCCCGGGAACUACGAGCAUCAGCUUAAAACCCAAAGGACUUGGCGGUGCUUCACAUCCGUCUAGAGGAGCCUGUUCUAUAACCGAUAACCCCCGUUAAACCUCACCCUCCCUUGUUAUUCCCGCCUAUAUACCGCCGUCGUCAGCCCACCCUGUGAAGGACUAGAAGUGAGCAAAAUUGGUAAAACCUAAAACGUCAGGUCGAGGUGUAGUAUAUGAGAGGGGAAGAAAUGGGCUACAUUUCCUAAUCUAGGAAAUACGAACAAUGUACUGAAACAAACAUUAGAAGGUGGAUUUAGCAGUAAGCAAGAAAUCAGAGAGUCUGCUGAAGAUCUACGGCACUAAAGCACGCACA
This 564-nucleotide ribosomal RNA is filed under the name Neopomacentrus cyanomos (regal demoiselle). Its description in RNAcentral is "partial 12S large subunit ribosomal RNA". It matches the Rfam family "Bacterial small subunit ribosomal RNA", at positions 514 to 1387 of the family's 1533-position model. Lineage: Eukaryota; Metazoa; Chordata; Actinopteri; Pomacentridae. The record is from RNAcentral.